CUUGCUCAGUAUGCUGCGUGCCUUGUCUGAGUUGUUUGGGUUUAUUUGGAUUGACUGAACCUUUUUGUUCCUGUCCUUGGGUACACAACUGGUGACAGAAUAAUGGGGGGCCCAGAGGAAUAAAGAAGGUGUCACAUCAGUACCAUUUUUUGAAGAAGACACCUUCCUCAUCCACUCAGGCAAAGUUAACAUCUCCCACUUUAUUCAAGGCCCACGGCAGGCCGAUACUCAGGAGUAGCGUCACUAGUUGUGUGACCCAGAGCAAGCUGCUGGAGUGG
This is a long non-coding RNA of Suricata suricatta (meerkat), 278 nucleotides long. RefSeq lists it as uncharacterized. The transcript has 3 exons. The record is from RefSeq and is a predicted model, not a curated record. Lineage: Eukaryota; Metazoa; Chordata; Mammalia; Carnivora; Herpestidae.